RNAcentral lists this ribosomal RNA (458 nucleotides) under uncultured bacterium. RNAcentral's name for it is "SSU rRNA". It matches the Rfam family "Bacterial small subunit ribosomal RNA", at positions 26 to 518 of the family's 1533-position model. The record is from RNAcentral.
AGGAUAAACGCUGGCGGCGUGCCUAAUACAUGCAAGUCGAGCGGCAGCGCGGUCUUCGGACUGGCGGCGAGCGGCGGACGGCUGAGUAACACGUAGGAACGUACCCCAAAGUGAGGGAUAAGCACCAGAAAUGGUGUCUAAUACCGCAUGUGCUCUAAGGAGUAAAGCUUCGGCGCUUUGGGAACGGCCUACGCAUGAUUAGCUUGUUGGUGAGGUAAUGGCUCACCAAGGCGACGAUCAUUAGCUGGUCUGAGAGGAUGAUCAGCCAGACUGGGACUGAGAACGGCCCAGACUCCUACGGGAGGCAGCAGUAGGGAAUUUUCCACAAUGGGCGAAAGCCUGAUGGAGCAACGCCGCGUGCAGGAUGAAGGCCUUAGGGUUGUAAACUGCUUUUAUGUGUGACGAAUAUGACGGUAGCAUAUGAAUAAGGAUCGGCUAACUCCGUGCCGAGCAGCCGC